GGGCCAUUAGCUCAGUUGGUUAGAGCAGGGGACUCAUAAUCCCUUGGUCCUAGGUUCAAGUCCUAGAUGGCCCA
This 74-nucleotide transfer RNA is filed under the name Treponema sp. Its description in RNAcentral is "tRNA-Ile". It matches the Rfam family "tRNA". Rfam says of the family: Transfer RNA (tRNA) molecules are approximately 80 nucleotides in length. Their secondary structure includes four short double-helical elements and three loops (D, anti-codon, and T loops). Lineage: Bacteria; Pseudomonadati; Spirochaetota; Spirochaetia; Treponematales; Treponemataceae. The record is from RNAcentral.